GAUCCUGGCUCAGGAUGAACGCUGGCGGCGUGCUUAACACAUGCAAGUCGAACGAUGAAGCCCAGCUUGCUGGGUGGAUUAGUGGCGAACGGGUGAGUAACACGUGAGUAACCUGCCCUUAACUCUGGGAUAAGCCUGGGAAACUAGGUCCUAAUACCGGAUAGGAGCGCCUACCGCAUGGUGGGUGUUGGAAAGAUUUAUCGGUUUUGGAUGGACUCGCGGCCUAUCAGCUUGUUGGUGAGGUAAUGGCUCACCAAGGCGACGACGGGUAGCCGGCCUGAGAGGGUGACCGGCCACACUGGGACUGAGACACGGCCCAGACUCCUACGGGAGGCAGCAGUGGGGAAUAUNGCACAAUGGGCGAAAGCCUGAUGCAGCGACGCCGCGUGAGGGAUGACGGCCUUCGGGUUGUAAACCUCUUUCAGUAGGGAAGAAGCGAAAGUGACGGUACCUGCAGAAGAAGCACCGGCGAACAC
RNAcentral lists this ribosomal RNA (476 nucleotides) under Micrococcus luteus. RNAcentral describes it as "bacterial SSU rRNA". It matches the Rfam family "Bacterial small subunit ribosomal RNA", at positions 15 to 503 of the family's 1533-position model. The record is from RNAcentral. Lineage: Bacteria; Bacillati; Actinomycetota; Actinomycetes; Micrococcales; Micrococcaceae.